Long non-coding RNA from Orcinus orca (killer whale), 1930 nucleotides. RefSeq lists it as uncharacterized. The transcript is spliced from 5 exons. The record is from RefSeq and is a predicted model, not a curated record. NCBI's taxonomy places the organism in Eukaryota, Metazoa, Chordata, Mammalia, Artiodactyla, Delphinidae.
GUUAGUAGGACAAAGUACUCAUCUUCCGGUACCACCGUGGUGGUCAUUUAUCCUUGAUUUCUUCUGCUGGUACCAGCUGAAUAUUACCUUCAUCCCCUACUCAUCUGUUUUGCCUCUAAGGAUGCUACAUUGUAUUAAGCAUCUCUGUAGGCCUCUGUGUGUCAGACUGACAGUUGUCGUAGUUGCGCCCCCUGGUUUCUGGCCUUUAAGCGCUGCCCCUCUAAUACUGGCCGCCAAUAAGCGCUGGCCUCUAUUGGUGUAGGGUCCUACCACCCCCACUGCUAUCUGCAAGACAAGUUCUUUCCCAGCCUCUUCUACAUCAGCCCUGGCCCACAGAGGAGAUCCACCACCUUUCAUGAUGCUGGUGCCCACUCAACAGAGAAUCCCUUAUGUCUGCAGUAAAUGGUUUGUCCUCUGAGCCUUCCUGUGAAUCAUCUGAUGGGUCUUCCCCAACGUAGAAAUGAAGAUUACAAUACAUUGCACAGGAGAGAGCAGACCCUUGGAGAGCAAGUUAGAUGGUCCAGGGAAAUCGAGGGCACAGGCUUUGGAACAGCAAUCAGCGCUUCACGUGGGAACAAUGCUGAGCUGGCUGCACCACACCUCGCCCGAGGUCACCUGGUGAAAACGUUCCACCGUGAAUUGAGGCCAAGACCAAAGCUCUGAUGGAGAAGAACCAAGCCAGAGCCCUCCCCUGACUCCUUCUGCCAGCCUCAGAUGCCGACAGUGUUGAUGCGGAAUGAACAAGACAAACUUCACCCUGGUCUGAUGGAACUUACCUCCUAGAGGUGAAAACGGACAAAAAAGCGGUAGCUUCCAUCUCGAGAUCCGGAACGGCUGCUCCAGUGGCCGCUGUCAUGUCUACACUCAAACCAGCAAGAAAAGGGGAAAGAAAGGGGAGGACUCCUCUUCCCUUAAAGGUUGUGACCCAGAAGGUGAACACAUCACUUCCAUUUACAUCCCACAGCUGGAACUUUUUCCCAUGAUCACAUAACUGCAAAGGAGGCUGACAAAGGUACUCUUGAGUUGGGUUGGGUGUCCACGUACAGAUACGAAACCUACCACCAGGGAAUAAGGGGAUGUUGGCAAACAAAUACAGUCUCUGCUACUCUCCUAUAUCCCGUGCCUACUAAAUUCAGCGAACUUAGAAGGGGCUGAUCCAUUUGCAUGGUGAGUUAACGAAAACCUCAUGAUAGGUUCUGGGAUACCAAGAUGAAAUAAUAUACUUUCUGUUCUGAAGGAGCUUUUAGUCAAUACCGGGGGCUAGACAAGUAAAGAAACAAAGACAAUGAAUUGUAUCAGGUGGGAUAGCAGCCUGUGCGGGUCACAGUUUAAACAGUCACAAAGGAGAAAGGCAGCACAUCCAUCUGGGGCAAGAGAGGUCAGAAAAGACUCCAUCAAGAAGGUGGUGCUCAGCUGAGUCUGAAAGCUGAGUCGAUGUUUGUCUGGGGAGCCAGGCGAGGAGAGCCGUUCAAGGACGCAAGAGAAGAAUGUCAGCAAAGACAGGAAGAUUUAGAACAACCUGGUACAUUCAGAGGAGGGCAAGUGGGUUGGGAGAGAGAUGGCAAGAGAAGACGAUGGGAUGGAGGAGGUGCGUGGGGACCAGGUCUGGGGACCUUAGUCUUUAUCCCAUAGGAAAUGGUGGCCCAUUGAACAGUUUCAAAUACAGAUGUUUAAUGUGUCAGGGGUGCAAUUACAUUUGCAUUUUUGGAAACUUGCUUUAAGUACACUUUGUGGGGCGAUGAACUAACAGUAGGGACAGGACCGGCAAUAGGAAGCAAAAUAUCGCAGAAGCUUAGUUUUUCUUGGUGAGUCUUAAAGUUUGAUGCAAAUCUAACUGUCAAUAGUCUAAUAUACCUCAGAAAUACCUCAUAAAGCUAGAAAUACUUUAUCUGAAAUUAAUUAAAGUUGCAGUUGACUAUUUUAAGACCAA